This 499-nucleotide ribosomal RNA is filed under the name Carlosrosaea sp. 7 ML-2016. Its description in RNAcentral is "eukaryotic LSU rRNA". The stretch from base 121 to 274 matches the Rfam family "5.8S ribosomal RNA". The record is from RNAcentral. Lineage: Eukaryota; Fungi; Basidiomycota; Tremellomycetes; Tremellales; Trimorphomycetaceae.
GACGGGGCGGCGCGAGCCGUCCCAACCCAACACCUCUUGUGAACAACCGCCGCCGGGUGCGUCCCGGCGGCACCCUUUGCACCUGUUGUACAGUGUCCAGAAAGUAUAUCAAAAGAGUACAACUCUCAACGAUGGAUCUCUUGGCUCUCGCAUCGAUGAAGAACGCAGCGAAUUGCGAUAUGUAAUGUGAAUUGCAGAAUUCAGUGAAUCAUCGAAUCUUUGAACGCACCUUGCGCCCUCUGGUAUUCCGGAGGGCAUGCCUGUUUGAGUGUCAUGUCAUCAUCAUCCCGCCGGGUCCUGCCCGCGCGGGGUUGGAAUUGGGCGCUGCCGUCUUUGGCUCGCCUCAAAUGCGUUGGCGGCGACCUGCCGUUGUUCGGCGUAAUACGUUUCGUCGGGCGGCGCGCGUCUGGGAGGCCCCCUUGAACCCGCCUCCUUGGAGGAUUUGUACGAUUGACCUCAGAUCAGGUAGGACUACCCGCUGAACUUAAGCAUAUCAAUA